RNA transcript from Onychostoma macrolepis, 9009 nucleotides. It is a transcript of the gene named leucine-rich repeat-containing protein 15, with no coding region annotated. The record is from RefSeq and is a predicted model, not a curated record. The transcript has 4 exons. NCBI's taxonomy places the organism in Eukaryota, Metazoa, Chordata, Actinopteri, Cypriniformes, Cyprinidae.
GUUCUUUAAAAUGUUUUUGUUUGCAAAAUACUACUAGGGGACCUUUAUCUAUAUUUCACCUUUUAAAAUGCUCUUCACACACUUUACAGAGACAUAAACAAGAAACUAACUGCUCACAAAAUGAAUAUGUAAUUAAGAAAAAAAAGAAGACGACUAGAAUAGAAAUAAUUGAUCCGAGAAGAAUCUCUAAAUAUGUGUACUGUGUGAAAUUUUUUUUGAAAGUGAGUCUGCAAUUUUUUAUCUCUUCAAACAGAAAACAAACUGUCUACACCCUUUCUAAUGCCUUACGUUCAUGCAGUAAACGCUUGGGAUAUGUAGAUAAGAGUAGUGCACUACAUAUAUUCCUCCACAUUUGCACUACGUACAUCCUUACAUUUGGUUUUAGGAACAUGAUUCUAAAUGAUCAUUCAGCUGCAACUGAGAUGAGCAGGCAUAUGCUUUUAAAAAUUGCACUUGUAUUCAUUUACAUGCUUGUGCACUUGCACCGGAGCUGCACUGUAGAUAUAUGUAAACCAGGUGAUGUCUGCAAAAAUCAAGAAGUGUAUGACAAAACCGUGACAGCAAUCCCUGAAAAAUUAAAAGAUGGAGCCGAUGAAAUAUUCUUUGUAAACAGUCAGAUUCCUGUGAUACCAAAAGGAGUUCUUUCUAAAAACCCUCAAAUAAAAAAAAUCGAAUUUAUUGGUACUUCAACUCACUCUGUAGAGGUUGGAGCCUUUGAGGGUUUGCCUAAUAUCACGACCAUUGAGAUAUCUGGCACAAAUGUGACAACAUUAUCUGUGGGUGUUUUUAAGAAUCUCAACAACCUUCAAAGACUUGUUCUAAAAAGCAACAAAAUCCAUAGCCUUGAAAACGGGUUAUUUGAUGAUUUAAAAAAACUUAAAGAUUUAUAUUUACAUAUGAAUGAGAUCAGCUCUAUUGAGGAGGGGACGUUUGACAAUUUAGAGAAACUCUCACUUCUUCAUCUUGCAAAAAACAACCUUAGUUCUGUAUCGACAUCCCUUUUUUCCAAACUUAAGGGCUUGACCAAUUUCAGGCUUUAUGAGAACCAGCUGACUGCUCUACCUGAUGGGAUUUUUGAUCAUUUGCCUGAUUUGGCAGAGAUAGCUUUGCAAAACAACAAAAUCUCCUUUAUACAAACAAAUUUAUUUCCACACAAACAUAAAUUAACAAAACUCCUUUUGGACAACAAUCUUUUAACAGAACUGCCGCCAGCUCUAUUAGUUGGUUUCUCUUCAUUAAAGACUCUAACUCUGCACAACAAUCAACUCAUCAGUCUUCCCGACGUCCUUUUUGGAGAAAUGCCUAAAAUAACUGAAUUAAAGUUAAGCCAUAACAAUCUCAUUCACUUACCAACUGGAGUUUUCAGUCCACUUAAGAAGCUCAAGAAGUUAGACCUUUCCUCAAACCAGUUUUCAACGAUAUCUGCAGACUUUUUUGAAGGUCUUGAGAAACUGGCUGAUCUGGAUCUUCAAAAUAACAAUAUAAAGUCAUUAAAACAAGAGGACUUUGAAAAACUUCAGUCUCUUUCAACACUCAAACUGGGAAAUAACAAACUACAAAACCUUCCUGGUGAUGUCUUUGAUGCUCUUCCGAAACUCAGUAAACUGUACCUGAACAAGAACCCAUGGCAGUGUGACUGUAACCUGUUGCCAUUCUUUGAAUGGAUGAAGAGCAAUGAGGACAAGAUUAAAUCAAAACCUCCAGAAGUUUGUGAGUCUCCAAAAAAUCUGCUAAAUCAGUCAAUCACCUCUUUAACAGAAGAGCAACUAAUAUGCCCCACAACUUCACCAACUACCACUCCUCUCCUUACAAGUACCUUUCCCAUGACCACACUGCACACCACAACUGUCUCAACAACGACAGCAGAGCCUCCAACAACUACUACUUUACAGACGACAACAACAACUACUCCAACAACAACAACUCAACCAACUACAACACAGACAACCACUCAAGUCAUCACCACAGCACCAACUACUCAUCUCACAACUCUGCUAUUAACCACAACCACACUACCUACCACCACUCCUACAACUACAGCUCCGACAACCACAACAGUCCCAACCACAGUAUCAACAACUACACUACAACCAACAACUGCCCUCCUGACAACUACAUUGAUUCCCACAACACCAACAACGACAGUACAAACAACAACUGCGACAGCUUCAGCGACCACCACUUCUACAACCACGAUACCAUCAACAACUGCCCAUGUGACAACUACAUUGAUUCUCACCACACCAACAACGACAGUACAAACAACAACUGCGACAGCUUCAGCGACCACCACUUCUACAACCACGAUACCAUCAACAACUGCCCAUGUGACAACUACAUUGAUUCCCACCACACCAACAACGACAGUACAAACAACAACUGCGACAGCUUCAGCGACCACCACUUCUACAACCACGAUACCAUCAACAACUGCUCAUGUGACAACUAAAUUGAUUCCCACCACACCAACAACGACAGUACAAACAACAACUGCGACAGCUUCAGCGACCACCACUUCUACAACCACGAUACCAUCAACUGCUCAUGUGACAACUACAUUGAUUCCCACCACAUCAACAUCAACAGUCCAAACAACAAUUGCGACAACUUUAGCGACUACAAUAUUAAUCCCCACCACUAUUACAAGUCAGAAGACAACAGAAACUACAUUACCACCCAGCACGACUACAACAACACCUUUUCUCACCACACAUAGUUUCAUCUGCACCGGCUCUCCUCAGCCAACUCUCUCAAAAUCUACUACCACUUACAAGUACACAUCAUGCAAAGAACUAAUGAUAUAUUAUACUACAAUGCUGCUGGUGGAAAUCUGUUGUACUCUGGUGCUGGCCAAAUUCACUUAUACAUUAUACUGCUCACUGGAGCAAAGGGAGAGACUGCACACCCAGGUCAACUUGACUCACUUCUCCUAUACUAAGUCUAUUGUACUCAGACCAAUUGAAGAUACAGAGACUGUAGCUCUUUGAUCUUUUUUUUUCUUUUCUUUUUUUGAGUAGCACCUGGUGGUGGUUGAGUAGACUGUUCCUUAAAGGAAUGAUUUUCCAAACUGCAUAUAUAAUUGAUGCUUAUGCUUUCAUUUCGUGACAACGUACAGUAGGGUCCACUUGUGUUUUGCUAAUAAAAAUACUUUAUGUUAUAUAAUUACAUAAUUAUUAUAUACAAUAUACAUUAUAUAAUAACAUAUUAUCAGCAUAACAAUUUAAGUGAAGAGUUGAAUUGAAAAAAAAAAAAAGUAUGAGAUAAUUCUUAAAUUAAAUCUGUUCAUUAUAUAAAGUGAUCAUAUAUAUGCACAAGACUUGGAUUAAACAUUUUUUUGCAUUUUCUAAGUUGUGGUUCCCUGGACUCAGUUGAGGAAUAGAAACUCUCAGAUUCCAUUAAAUAUAUGUUAAUGUGUGUUUUGAAGAUUACCCAAAGUCUUAUGAGGGUCAGUAAACAAAGACUGAAUUUUCUUAUUUGGAUGAACUAUCCCGUUACGUGUGUCCAAACUUUUAACUUGCAAUAUACAUAUUUUACAAAGGAGCACAAACAUACAUUUCAAGUUAUUUUGUGUUUGUAUUUUUUACCUAAAAACUCAAAACCAUUGGAAAUGUAUCUAGCAAUAAUUAUGUGAUGUAACAUAUUUACAGUUUUGCUUUUUAUUUAUUUUGGAAAGGGUCAUUUGAAAAGGGUUUCUUGUGAGUUCGGUCACAACUCUUGAACUGCAGGUUGGGGCAUCUGUUGGCUACUAUCAAGCAAUUAUUUGAAAUUAAUUUAUCAAAUGUCAGCAGUCUUGAUUAAUUAUACUUUGAAGAAAAGCUGUGGAGGUGUAGCCUAAGUCUUUGGUCACAUAGUAUUAGAGAGCAAAAUAAUGCUAUUGUGACCAGAUGCUUUUGGGGUGGGUCAUAAAAACAAGAGGCUAAUUCAGAGAGUUAUUUGUCAUAGGCCUCAUUUACACAGAAUGUAAAUAUUUGUCUAGCUUUAUAUUUAUUAAUUGUUUUUUGUUUUUUUUGUUUGUUUGUUUGUUUUUAGUAUGGAAAUAUUUUCCGGGCCGAAUUUUUCAGGAAGCAAAAUGUUCUUCAAAACUGCUAUGAAUGCAUGUCUUUCCCAAUGUCAAGCACUAGGUGUCAGUGUAACCGCAUUUAUUUUGUUUGUCCAAUUAAUUCCGGUACCUCUCGCCUCAGUGAUACGCUCCAGCUCACAUAUAGGCCGUUUCUCAAACGGAAGGCUGCAUCCUCCGGAGGUCGCAUUUGUAGGCUGCGUACGCCAUCAAGCCUGGUUUAUUUCAGUUAACUGAGCAUUACAUUUGCGAGUCAAAAGCAUAUUACAACAAUUUACACUUAACUAAGAUAUGUUAAUGUUAAUGUUAAUAUUCUAAGAUAAGAUCUUCUUUAUGACGUAUGCAGCCUACAAAUGCGACCUCCGGAGGAUGCAGCCUUCCGUUUGAGAAACGGCCAUAGGCAAUAACAACCUGCACACGGUGUCCUUAAAUAAAUUGACCUAUUGACCUAACCAUUGACCUGUGUAGUGUAGUGUAGUGUAGUGUACAUAUUUUACAGUGGAGCACAAAUAGAAAACCCACAAACACGUACUAAACCUCAACCUGCACACAACGAAAAAAAAUAUAUUGUUUAUUUCUGUGUAAGACGUUUUCGAUAUUAGCCUUUAUAGUCUUUAUAUGUCGUCGUCAUCAUCAUUGCGAUGUUUGUAAGACAAAAGAAGACUUAAUGCAAAGAUAAUAGAGAGGUAUGCUAUGCACAUCUGUGGUCAAAGUAGCCUAUAUUCCCAUAAUGUUUUAUCAAACACACCACUAGAUGGCGCUCUGACCUAAUGUCCAUUUGUGUAUGGCGGACUGUAAACGAUUUGUAAAUGUUAGGCCAUUCACCAUUCACCACUUCGGCACCACGACUGCCAUCACAUCUUUUAUUCGUUUCUUUAAUCCAAUUAUUUAAAGCUAAAACCUCCUCAAAUUAUAGGGGAAAAAAUAGUAAAGAAUCUAAAAAAGAAAAUGUCAUAUGUCAUCAUUGUUUACAAAGCAAAUUCAACACCUGCAUGAUUGAACUUCUGAAAUAUAUAAAAAAGUGAUUCUCUGGAUGUGAGACUGGUGAGUACUCAUACCAUUACAACACAACUUGCUUGCAAAUGCACUAUUUAUCAUGACUGAAUGUUUCAUGUUUUAAGCCUGUUAUUUUCUGCCUUGUAUCAGAAAUGUUAGGAACAUUAAUUUUAUAAUAACUCCAUUAAUUUUAGGAACAUUAAUUUCAUAAUAACUCUAUUAAUAAGAGUAUUUAAAAAAUAAAAAGCUGAAGAUAUAUAAAAAGGUAUAAAAAAUAUAUAUAUAGCUAGGAACCCCCAAAUAUAGCUAUAUUAUAGAAAAAUGUUUGAUUAAUAUGGGGUUUUCAUUGAUUAAUUGAACAUGCAUAACAUGCAUAAUGAACAUGCAUAUUUGGUCUUUGUACUGUUCUGUUUGUACUUGAAUUGACUAUUUAACUGGUGACUUGUCUUGAUAUGUUUAAGUGCCUUAAAUACAUUAUUACAAUUAUUUUUGUGGCUUGCCCAUGAUACAUAAAACCAAAAUAAUAUAUAUAUAUGUGUGUGUGUGUGUGUGUGUGUGUGUGUGUGUGUGUGUGUAGAUCUGUACUGUGCUUAAGACAGUUGUCUGUCUUCUGGGAUGGUACUAAAAUAAAAAGUUUGAUAUUUGAGUGUAAUCACAGCCAUGGGUUCUCAGAGACCGAGAGGGACAACGUUACAUUCAGUGACGCUGUUCUGGUUCCAGAGAGACCAUAUAGAAUUGCCAUGGUGAUGUAUGGUGGUAUUUUGCAGCCAUGGUGAUGGCUAUAUAAUGCAUAUAUUUUAUCUAGCCAUGGUGAAAUGAAAUGAAAAGAAAAAAAAAAGCUUUAAAGUCUCAGCUGCAUCAGAGUUUAGUUUUUUUAUGAUGCAAAUCACAUUGACAAAGACGCGUUUCAGAUGCAAAACAUAAAUUGAUUAAUUGAAUUAUUUCUGAGGUUUGGAUUUAAAGGAAAGGAAUGAAGCCCUCAGAAUCUCUCAGGAGGACUUCUAAAUAGUCAGAAAGGAACCUUGUGAUAACUAGGAUUUUAAAGACUUUUUUAUUUGUUUACUUAGAUUUUUGUGUUCUACUUUUUUAAUUUAGGUAAGAUAAGAAUUUAUUUCAAAAGAUCUCUUGAUCAUUUGGUCCAUUGACAUCAAGAACAAUAAUGUCUAUGAUGAUUAUAUUAGCAUACCGACACACAGUAAUAUUCUGUUCAUUAUAAGCACGUGCUGCAUUUAUCUCAUCUUCCACUAUAAAUGUUCAAUCUCUUUAAAGCAGGUUGGAUUCUGAUUGGCUGUUAGUGAUUUUACCUUUUUUUUUUUUUUUUUUUACAGCCGAACAAAAAACGUUCUGAAAGUGAUUCCACUGUGUCAUUGUAGGUCUAGUUGUAGUGUGGCCUUCUUUAUUUCCAUAGAAUUAGAAUGAUUAUUAAAGCUUUAUAGUUACCAUGCUUGGUGUGAACGGGCCUUUAAAAAGAACAUUGAACAACUGAAGAAGAAAAAAACAUUAUUAAUAUGAUAACACAGGCAUGUUGAGUAAAUUAAAUAUAUAACUGAACAGCAAAACAUCAGGACAUUUAAAUGUAGCAUUUGUUUCCCAAGGCCAAAAGAAGGAAACCAAAAAAGAAGUGUAUUUGAAACAGUCUGCCCAAUUAACCAAUUAUCAGGCUUAAUUGCAGUCUCCUGAGGAGAGGUUAAGGAGUAAGAGCAGUGUCUCUCUCAUUCUCCAACACCAUGCCCGAGGCCUAAUCAAGUUAUCAUAUCAACAAAUCUCUCAUCAGGGGCCCAUGUCUGACACCAGCAGAAAGAGAGGCCAGUCGACGACUAAUUUCCAGCAGCAGGGCGCUGGGACUCGCCUGCCAGACAGGAUGAAAAGUACCUGCAGACCCCAGUCUAGCUGGCCUCACCAUCCCACUGGGAGAGCACUCACGCUGGGCACAACAGAGCGCUCUCUCCCUGUGUCCCGACUGGAAGGGGGGUAGUAGCAUCAUAGAGAGCUAGAGGAACGUUAUUUGGCAACGUACACAAAGAACAGGGGCAGACAAUGCAGUGAUCAUGCAGAGUGUGGAGGGGAACUGAGGGACCUCCUGUGGCCACGAGAGGGGCUUUAGGGUCAGAGUUUUUAGGGCUGGAGUGGUGCAUCUCUGAAGAGGUUAAUGUACUUGUUAUGUGGGGUCAGGGUGCAGGCUUCACGGCAGUACAUCACCAGUGACAGCCCCUCAGAGCCAUGACUGAAGCAGAAGGCUCUGAUCUGGGAUGACUGCAGUGGCCAAAUGUUCCUGAUGAUAGAGGCUGUAAGUGACUGUUGACUGACCAGCUACCUUCUAAGGUACAAGUUGUGAUGAAAGCAUCAGUCUAAGGAAAGAAGUGUUUUGAACUAAUCUAAAAUUUGUAUUUGAACAUUUAAAGUGUCAACGAUCUGUCUGUCAGAUAAAACAGGAGACAAAGGCACUUCUACAUGUCACCUAACGACAGUAAAACUAAUUAAUUGAAGUGUUUUCCUUUGUAUGUCUAAAAACCAAGCGCUUUUAUUUCAUUAAAUAAGCGAAUGACGGCUACUGAACGGCUUGUUUUUAUACAUUGAGAGGCUUCUGUCUUUGUCAUCAUUGAGUCUGUUGAUAUGGUGAAUCAUUAGGCCUGGUGCCUUUCCUUUGAUGGUCUGUUUUCCUUUUUUUCAUCUGAUCCAAAAUCUCCAAGGAAAGCGAAAACCCAUUUUCUGUUGCAACCCUUUAUGCCGUCAGUGAAGUGAAGAGUGGCGACAAUAGGAAAUUGGCAGAUGCUGGUCAUGCCACUCAAAGAUCAAUUCAAAAAAGAUGAUUCAUGCCUGUGGUAUCUUUAUAUCAGAAAAGACCAUUGCAUGGAUUACCUGCCUGAGACCAAUGCUGUCAUCCAGAUGACACUAGAUCUGAGGUUGCAGCUAUUGCUAAGUAGAGACGCUGGUCUCCAGACGAGUAGAAGUCUCCCCGUACUGGCUCUCUGCCACCUUGCCCUCAAGCCCGAGGCCUAAUCGAGUUAUCAUAUCAACAAAUCUCUCAUCAGGGGCCCACGUCUGACACCACCAGAAAGAGAGGCCAGUUGACGACUAAUUUCCAGCAGCAGGAUGCUAGAGCUCGCCUGCCAGGCGGGAUGAAAAGUACCUGCAGACCCCAGUCGAGCUGCCCUCACCAUCCCGCUGGGAGAGCACUCACGCUGGGCACCAUGCUGGGGCUGUUAUUCGAUUAGCUGCAGCGCUAAGUGGGGAGCUCCAUUCUACAUUCUGAGAGAGCAGCUAGCCUCCCACAGGGCUGAUGCUCUUCUCAACUAUGAAGGGGCGAACGCGGAGACAAGGCGAAUCAAAGGGAGUGUGCAACUAUAAUCUGAAUAAAAAGGCUGUCUGUGAUUCUGUAAUGAGCGGGUUCUUGACACCGAAGACAGCUAUGGUGAGGCUUUUAUCAAUGUCGGCAAUACAGUAACAUCAAGAUCAAGCCUGCCAUUUGAGAUUUCAGGACUGGACCCUCAAUGCUGCAUCACAAAUUGUACUAUUUUAACUCCGAAGCAAAAGUACAUAAAUAAAGUAUUGAACUGAAGUGUAAAAAUGUAAAAACAUAAACGUAAUAAUUAUACUGACAGGUAAUAAUAAAGCUACAAUCUUAAUAAGCAAAAUGCUCAGUUCUGAAUGACCUCUCAACGUUUUUCUCUCUUACAACAGUGGCGUACAGGUCAGCUUCUCUAAGAAUGAGUGCAUGAAGAGAGGUGGCAAGUGGGGGCCCUCAAGUUGACCUGACAUUCUUCUGCUACCUGCUGUUUCACACAAAGGGAGCCAAUCCCAGAACUCUUCAGAAGAAAGCCAAGCAGAUAAUGAGAGCACUACGGCUCUCGCCUCAAUUCGCCCAAUGGCCACUUUGUGUUCCAUGAAUAAGAUUUAUACUCCAGGAGUCAUUAUUCGCCAGACUAUUUUUCUUGGGCUCACUCUUUUUUUAAGAG